RNAcentral lists this ribosomal RNA (422 nucleotides) under uncultured eukaryote. Its description in RNAcentral is "SSU rRNA". It matches the Rfam family "Eukaryotic small subunit ribosomal RNA", at positions 592 to 1018 of the family's 1831-position model. The record is from RNAcentral.
CAAUAGCGUAUAUUAAAGUUGUUGCGGUUAAAAAGCUCGUAGUUGGAUUUCUGUCAAAGGGUGUUCCUCCGCCCCUUGUGGUGAGUAGUGGACAUACCGUUGGCAUCUUCUUGGGGAGUGUAUCUGCUCUUUAUUGAGUGGUGCACAAGCCAGGACUUUUACUUUGAGGAAAUGAGAGUGUUUCAAGCAGGCUUGCGCCGUGAAUACGUUAGCAUGGAAUAAUAGCAUCGGACCUCGCUCCAAAGCUGUUGGUUUCUUGGGGCGAGGUAAAGGUGAAUAGGGAUUGUUGGGGGCAUUCGUAUUUAACUGUCAGAGGUGAAAUUCUUGGAUUUAUGAAAGAUGAACUUAGGCGAAAGCAUUUACCAAGGAUGUUUUCAUUAAUCAAGAACGAAAGUUAGGGAUCGAAGACGAUUAGAUACCGU